RNAcentral lists this ribosomal RNA (254 nucleotides) under uncultured bacterium. RNAcentral's name for it is "partial 16S ribosomal RNA". It matches the Rfam family "Bacterial small subunit ribosomal RNA", at positions 524 to 776 of the family's 1533-position model. RNAcentral also lists the same sequence under 1 other name. The record is from RNAcentral.
UACGUAGGGUGCGAGCGUUGUCCGGAAUUACUGGGCGUAAAGAGCUCGUAGGUGGUUUGUCGCGUCGUUUGUGUAAGUCCACGGCUUAACUGUGGGAUGGCAGGCGAUACGGGCAUAACUUGAGUGCUGUAGGGGAGACUGGAAUUCCUGGUGUAGCGGUGAAAUGCGCAGAUAUCAGGAGGAACACCGAUGGCGAAGGCAGGUCUCUGGGCAGUAACUGACGCUGAGGAGCGAAAGCAUGGGUAGCGAACAGG